AGAAAAUAGAUACCCUGGUAGUCCACGCCGUAAACGAUGGAAGCUAGCCGUUGGUAAGCAUGCUUAUCAGUGGCGCAGCUAACGCAUUAAGCUUCCCGCCUGGGGAGUACGGUCGCAAGAUUAAAACUCAAAGGAAUUGACGGGGGCCCGGCACAAGCGGUGGAGCAUGUGGUUCAAUUCGACGCAACGCGAAGAACCUUACCAGCCCUUGACAUGUCCAGGACCGGUCGCAGAGACGCGACCUUCUCUUCGGAGCUUGGAACACAGGUGCUGCAUGGCUGUCGUCAGCUCGUGUCGUGAGAUGUUGGGUUUAAGUCCCGCAACGAGCGCAACCCUCGUCCUUAGUUGCCAUCAUUUAGUUGGGUCACUCUAAGGAGACUGCCGGUGAUAAGCCGCGAGGAAGGUGGGGAUGACGUCAAGUCCUCAUGGCCCUUACGGGCUGGGCUACACACGUGCUACAAUGGCGGUUGACAAUGGGCAGCGAACCAGCAAUGGGGGUAGCUAACUCUCAAAAACGCCGUCUCAGUUC
RNAcentral lists this ribosomal RNA (529 nucleotides) under uncultured bacterium. RNAcentral describes it as "bacterial SSU rRNA". It matches the Rfam family "Bacterial small subunit ribosomal RNA", at positions 774 to 1294 of the family's 1533-position model. The record is from RNAcentral.